RNAcentral lists this ribosomal RNA (684 nucleotides) under uncultured bacterium. Its description in RNAcentral is "bacterial SSU rRNA". It matches the Rfam family "Bacterial small subunit ribosomal RNA", at positions 63 to 721 of the family's 1533-position model. The record is from RNAcentral.
UGGACGCUUUUUUCUCACCGAAGCUUGCUUCACCGAGAAAGAAGAGUCGCGAACGGGUGAGUAACGCGUAGGUAACCUGCCUCAUAGCGGGGGAUAACUAUUGGAAACGAUAGCUAAUACCGCAUAACAGUAUUUACCGCAUGGUAGAUGCUUAAAAGGAGCAACUGCUUCACUAUGAGAUGGACCUGCGUUGUAUUAGCUAGUUGGUGAGGUAACGGCUCACCAAGGCUUCGAUACAUAGCCGACCUGAGAGGGUGAUCGGCCACACUGGGACUGAGACACGGCCCAGACUCCUACGGGAGGCAGCAGUAGGGAAUCUUCGGCAAUGGGGGCAACCCUGACCGAGCAACGCCGCGUGAGUGAAGAAGGUUUUCGGAUCGUAAAGCUCUGUUGUAAGAGAAGAACUGUGAGAAGAGUGGAAAGUUUCUCACUUGACGGUAACUUACCAGAAAGGGACGGCUAACUACGUGCCAGCAGCCGCGGUAAUACGUAGGUCCCGAGCGUUGUCCGGAUUUAUUGGGCGUAAAGCGAGCGCAGGCGGUUUGAUAAGUCUGAAGUAAAAGGCUGUGGCUUAACCAUAGUACGCUUUGGAAACUGUCAAACUUGAGUGCAGAAGGGGAGAGUGGAAUUCCAUGUGUAGCGGUGAAAUGCGUAGAUAUAUGGAGGAACACCCGGUGGCGAAAG